Salvia miltiorrhiza (redroot sage) is the source of this 585-nucleotide long non-coding RNA. RefSeq lists it as uncharacterized. The transcript has 2 exons. Lineage: Eukaryota; Viridiplantae; Streptophyta; Magnoliopsida; Lamiales; Lamiaceae. The record is from RefSeq and is a predicted model, not a curated record.
AUGUUUCUUUUUCUGCUCGACACCCUCAUGUUUUUCUCGAUAAUAAUCUAUUUAUCUUUCCCUUGACUAUGUCGCUUGUAUAUCCAUUGUCCACUAAAUGUGUUAUGGUAUUUUCUAGGGCUAUGCUCUAAUUGAAUUUGAGAAGUUUGAGGAGGCACAGAGAGCCAUAAAUGAGAUGAAUGGAACUGAACUCCUAACCCAGACCAUGAAUGUUGACUGGGCGUUCAGCAAAGGUCCAUUCAGAAGAAGGAACAUUAGGAGGAGAUCACCUCGGGGUCAUCAUUCCAGGAGUCCAAGGAGGAGAUUCUGAUCAUGGUGGCAUGUGAGAGUUUUUGGCACUUUGAUUUAGAGUGAAGAUACAAAUGUGAAUCUUUGUUAACUUUUAACAAUGUGUACGAUUGUUGUUUCUGUUGUCAGUUUUCGUUCAUUGACUUCAUUUCAGCUGUAUUAACGUAUUUAUGAGGCUUCUUUGGAUUGCUCUUCCUGGCUUGCUAUUUAUAUAGGUUGGUACUUUAGUUGAAGGAUGUUCCAAUGUUGUGUUCUUAUUGAUUCCGAUCAGUGUAUUCAUUGCCUUUUUGAUUGGUA